This 263-nucleotide ribosomal RNA is filed under the name uncultured bacterium. RNAcentral's name for it is "partial small subunit ribosomal RNA". It matches the Rfam family "Bacterial small subunit ribosomal RNA", at positions 26 to 291 of the family's 1533-position model. The record is from RNAcentral.
AGGAUAAACGCUGGCGGCGUGCCUAAUGCAUGCAAGUCGAACGAGGUGUUCUUUCGGGAGCAUCGAGUGGCGGACGGGUGAGGAACACGUACGAGACCUGCCCACCGGUGGGGAAUAACCCCUCGAAAGGGGGCUAAUGCCGCAUACGGUCACUGGGGUGAUGCCUGGUGAGGAAAGCUCGCAAGGGCGCUGGUGGAGGGGCGUGCGGCCGAUUAGCUAGUUGGUGGGGUAAGAGCCUACCAAGGCGACGAUCGGUAGCUGGU